GAUGCUGCAGGGGUCCCAAGGGAUGGGGAGUGAUGGGGGCAUGGAGRUGCAUGGGGUGACCUGACCCUGCCACCCAGAGCACUUUGGCCACGCUGUGAAAUAGAUGCAGCCCCUGUCUGAAGGGAAAAGUUCUGCUGYGGUUCCCAUUCCCAAGGUGAUGAGCCCCCAAAGAAAUAAUGCUGCUUGUUAAAAUUGACUGUGAUGAGUCUGAGAAAACACUGCUGGGAUGCUCUCAGGAAUGCCAGGACAGGCAGGUGUCGACAUCUCCGUGGAGGUCCCAGGGCAGAUUUGGGGACCCACUGAGGCGCCACAGUGUCCCCAGAGAGGCGGGUGGCCGUCCCAGCUGCAUUUCAGUGCCCAGGGCUCGGGGCUGUCACCAGCCUUCCCGGCCCUGCCGGGCGGUUUCUCAGCAAUGCUGGAGACUCAGACCACAAUAGAAGGAAAUCACUAAAGCUGAAUUGCUCCAAGUAAGUCCUCAGCAGGGUUUGACUGGUAAAUAUUUAACAAGGAGAACUCCCUAUCCUCUCCUGGUACGUAUUAAACUAAUACAUUUAUUUUAACAAGGGAAACGGUUUCCCCAAGCUCCCGCUCAAUUUGAGCCCUUGACUUCUACAAAAACCUCAGUAAGGUUGGCUUCCUGGGGCUCAGUAAUUCASUGGGACUAAACGAGAGAUGGCUCUGAGCCAUGAGCUUGGAGUCUGGAGGCGACAGGACCUCCCCAAGGUUGGGGAGAGCUCAGUCCUGGGGUUUCCAUUCCCACCUGCCUUCAGACAGGUCCAACGCYCACCUCAGGACAUCCCUGCCACCACCAGAUUGUGACCACCUCAGCCAUGCUGUGGAGACAGGUUGACCAUCUCCCACCACGGUUUCCAUGUGUUCUCAUGCCAAGUCCUCCCCACAGAAGCUUCACAAAUCCCCGGCUCCACCAGCGCCCAUCCCACCAUUCCUCAACCCCCAAUCCUUUCUGCUGCCUCUCCCCACGCCCAGACGGAGCCAGGGGUCAUGGGCAAGGACAUGGUGUUCAAUCCUUGUCCCCAGGCUGGUGAUGCUGGGGGUUUAUUCCCCCUUGGUUCCACUCUUUCCUCCUCCAUGGACCACAGGGGGACUGGCAACACCCUGAGAGCAAAAAGAUUCCCUGCCAGUGAUC
Molecule: long non-coding RNA, 1147 nt
Organism: Malurus melanocephalus (red-backed fairy wren)
Lineage: Eukaryota; Metazoa; Chordata; Aves; Passeriformes; Maluridae
Exons: 3
Source: RefSeq, a predicted model, not a curated record